This 472-nucleotide ribosomal RNA is filed under the name uncultured bacterium. Its description in RNAcentral is "bacterial SSU rRNA". It matches the Rfam family "Bacterial small subunit ribosomal RNA", at positions 355 to 825 of the family's 1533-position model. The record is from RNAcentral.
UGGGGAAUAUUGGACAAUGGGCGAAAGCCUGAUCCAGCCAUGCCGCGUGUGUGAAGAAGGUCUUCGGAUUGUAAAGCACUUUAAGUUGGGAGGAAGGGUUGUAGAUUAAUACUCUGCAAUUUUGACGUUACCGACAGAAUAAGCACCGGCUAACUCUGUGCCAGCAGCCGCGGUAAUACAGAGGGUGCAAGCGUUAAUCGGAAUUACUGGGCGUAAAGCGCGCGUAGGUGGUUAGUUAAGUUGGAUGUGAAAUCCCCGGGCUCAACCUGGGAACUGCAUUCAAAACUGACUGACUAGAGUAUGGUAGAGGGUGGUGGAAUUUCCUGUGUAGCGGUGAAAUGCGUAGAUAUAGGAAGGAACACCAGUGGCGAAGGCGACCACCUGGACUGAUACUGACACUGAGGUGCGAAAGCGUGGGGAGCAAACAGGAUUAGAUACCCACGUAGUCCCUGAGCGGGCUGGCAAGGCGCAU